AAGAGACCACAAUGAUGGCCCGGGGGUUGACCAAGUCCGUGUCGAACAGCGUUUGCCGCCCACUGCCGUCCAGGUUGGCGCUCUCGAUCACGUCGGGCGUGGAGUCGACCCAGAAUAUCAACCUCCGUUUGACGUCCACGGCCAAACCCUCUGGACUCACCAGAUCUGCAGAGAUUACAAGAUACAGAGAGGCAUUCCAAGGCUGUGACCCUUUGACCUCGACCGCGCACCACUCUCAAGCUCACUGUCGUCAUUCCUUCACAUUCCCAUGACAUCAAUGGGCAGCUAUUCUACCCGGCAACCCCCACCCCCCACGAGAAAAUCUGUCAUUGGCUGGGAUAUUAUUUUCAAGAAAGCCGUGUGUUCCACUCACCUCCGACCGGGCUGAUCUUGUUGGUGAUGGCGUAUCUCAGGAUCCGCUCCUCCUUGACGUACAUCACAAACACCCUCUCCAUGGUGAUCUGCAGAGUCUCCGGGGCAGCGGCGCGGU
This is a long non-coding RNA of Scophthalmus maximus (turbot), 490 nucleotides long. RefSeq lists it as uncharacterized. The record is from RefSeq and is a predicted model, not a curated record. The transcript has 4 exons. NCBI's taxonomy places the organism in Eukaryota, Metazoa, Chordata, Actinopteri, Pleuronectiformes, Scophthalmidae.